Molecule: ribosomal RNA, 253 nt
Filed under: uncultured bacterium
Lineage: Bacteria
Description: partial 16S ribosomal RNA
Rfam family: Bacterial small subunit ribosomal RNA
Source: RNAcentral
UACGUAGGCAGCGAGCGUUGUUCGGAAUUACUGGGCGUAAAGAGUGUGUAGGCGGUGCUCUAAGUUCGGUGUGAAAUCUCCCGGCUCAACUGGGAGGGUGCGCCGAAUACUGAAUGACUAGAGUGCGGGAGAGGAUAGUGGAAUUCCUGGUGUAGCGGUGAAAUGCGUAGAUAUCAGGAGGAACACCGGUGGUGUAGACGGCUAUCUGGACCGUAACUGACGCUGGGGCACGAAAGCGUGGGUAGCAAACAGG